AGCUCCAAUAGCGUAUAUUAAAGUUGUUGCAGUUAAAAAGCUCGUAGUUGGAUUUCUGGCGGGAGCGACCGGUCCGCCUCUUUAACGAGGUGUGUACUAGUGUUGCAUCCGGCCAUCCUUGCGGAGAGCGUCUCUGGCAUUAGGUUGUUGGGGUCGGGAUCCGCAUCGUUUACUGUGAAAAAAUUAGAGUGUUCAAAGCAGGCAUUUGCUCUGAAUAGAUUAGCAUGGAAUAAUAAGAUAGGACUUUGGUGCUAUUUUGUUGGUUUGCACACCAAGGUAAUGAUUAAUAGGGAUAGUUGGGGGUAUUCAUAUUUCAUUGUCAGAGGUGAAAUUCUUGGAUUUAUGAAAGAUGAACUUAUGCGAAAGCAUUUACCAAGGAUGUUUUCAUUAAUCAAGAACG
This 400-nucleotide ribosomal RNA is filed under the name phytoplankton environmental sample. Its description in RNAcentral is "partial small subunit ribosomal RNA". It matches the Rfam family "Eukaryotic small subunit ribosomal RNA", at positions 587 to 985 of the family's 1831-position model. The record is from RNAcentral.